UGGGGAAUAUUGGACAAUGGGCGCAAGCCUGAUCCAGCAAUGCCGCGUGAGUGAUGAAGGCCUUAGGGUUGUAAAGCUCUUUUACCAGGGAUGAUAAUGACAGUACCUGGAGAAUAAGCUCCGGCUAACUCCGUGCCAGCAGCCGCGGUAAUACGGAGGGAGCUAGCGUUGUUCGGAAAUACUGGGCGUAAAGCGAACGUAGGCGGUCUAGCAAGUCAGGGGUGAAAUCCCGGAGCUUAACUCCGGAACUGCCCUUGAAACUGCUAAACUAGAAUCCUGGAGAGGUCAGUGGAAUUCCGAGUGUAGAGGUGAAAUUCGUAGAUAUUCGGAAGAACACCAGUGGCGAAGGCGACUGACUGGACAGGUAUUGACGCUGAGGUUCGAAAGCGUGGGGAGCAAACAGGAUUAGAUACCCCCGUAGUCC
This 424-nucleotide ribosomal RNA is filed under the name uncultured prokaryote. RNAcentral describes it as "bacterial SSU rRNA". It matches the Rfam family "Bacterial small subunit ribosomal RNA", at positions 355 to 796 of the family's 1533-position model. The record is from RNAcentral.